AGGAAAGGGAGGGAUUCC
Molecule: transfer RNA, 18 nt
Filed under: Elaphoglossum aff. vulcanicum AV-2008
Lineage: Eukaryota; Viridiplantae; Streptophyta; Polypodiopsida; Polypodiales; Dryopteridaceae
Description: partial tRNA-Ser
Source: RNAcentral